CUUGUGAAAAUAGACCAAGAUCUGCCUGCGCUUCCUAGACCUCUCUUUCUGCACAGGGGAAGGAUGGAGAUGGAAGCCAUCAGGUCUCUGGUGACCUCCUUGCCCAGGGAAGGAGUUGCUUCAGCUGCUCCAGGUGGGCUGGAAUGGACCUCCCUGGCAAAAUCAGGGGUGCCAAUUGAUCAACUUCCCCUUUUCCCCUCCCCUUCUUGGCAAGAGCAGGAAGCUGCAGAGCUGGUUCGCUCCUUCCUGCCACCCGGCUGCCAAGGCACCAGAGCCCCCCGGCCAGCCUGGCUCCACAUUUACUCUGAGCAGGAUGGCUCUUCCUUUGGGGGGCUCUUUGUUCCCCUUCUUCUUUUCUCUCUCCUUCAUCCUCCUCCCCAAGACGUGACUACAAUCAGCUGCUAACGGAAGAUCUCCGCAUUCUGGUUUAUUCCCUGCCAAUUUCUCAAAGAGCUGGUACUGCAGGCGGCUCCGGUGGCAACCAAGGCUGGAUCGCAAAGGAGGGAAAUGGACCGGUGCCAUCAGCCGAGCGGCUUGUCUGCCAGGAUGCCAGAAGGCAGCGAGGGGCCAAAAGGAGCAUAUGAAGCUGAGAAGCUGGCAGCCCACUGCGAAGCAGGUGGCAGCUGAGUUGGCAGAGGUGCCAUGGAGGAUGGGCUGGCGAGACGCAGCAGCCCCGCAAAAGAGAGGAAAAAGAGAGCGAAAGAACGAACAAGAGGAUGAGGCAGGGAGGCUGGAAAGGCAGGGCAGGUACCCAGCGUCGUUGGGAAGCCGGAGGAGCAGCCAAAGGAAGGCCUGAGAGACCCCUUCCCUGCCUGGCGAAGGGAAGCGUGAAUUUGCCCUUUAAUCCAGCAUUGCUCUGCCUCCAGAGAUGGUCCCUGCUGGGAGCUGGGAAGCUCCUUCUCCAGCAAUGCUUGGGGUGCAGCUGAGGUUGGGUGCUGGCAUCUCUAAAGGCAACAUGGAGCCCAAAACCCCAGAGAGGAAUCUUUGGAUAUUGUCAAAGCAAAUGCAUCCUGCUAAAUUUCGGCUGCUCCACCGAAGAGCUUCCUUGGCUCAACUCCUCUUCUGAACUGGGAUCUGAUCCAGUGGCAGAAAGGCCAAAAGAUGAAAACUCUCAUCAAAAGAUGCAACAAUUUGCUUAAAAAAUAUGAUGCUGAUUGUUUCAAGGAACAAUAACAUCAAACGUCAACAAUGUAAACAACAUUGGCCAAAUUCCUGCAGCUGAGCCGGUUUUCAGACUCUAGGGCUGGCUGCUUUAAUGUAAAAUAAUAGAAAAGUCCCUUUGGCAAGAAUGUUGAUAGAUGAAGAUUUUGUUUCUGGGUGCUCUGCCUCCCUCCAUGCACUGCAAAGCCCCACAGCUGGAUAACGGGAGUUGAGUGCAGCCCAUCUGGAGGGCGCUGGGUUGAAGAUAGCUGGUUGAGGAGGACAUCAAAGCCUUGAACUGAAGAAGGGGGUACAGAUGCAAGAAAAUUGGGAAAAGGUUGCUUUUCCUGAGACCAGAGACUGUUCAGAAACGUGACGCUGCUGAAGGGACUCCUUGGGCAGUUCAGCUCUUCUAAGAAUUAGCCUUUCCAAGUCUUCUCUCAUCAUGCCAAAUUGGCUUCACCCCAUCGGUCUGAGAUAUUGUGGAGAGACAAUGGUGCACCAAAUCCUUGUUUUGGGAGAUUGAGAAUCGUCUUUUCUUUUCCUUUUUAAUCCAAGCCACAAAUUGGACAAUGAGAUCAAUGCAUUUAGCUGGAGGGUUAGAACGGUCCAAAUGCUGUUUUUAGGGCCAGGAUGCGGCGUAUCCCGGAGAGUUCAUAAGAAGAUAAACAAGAUUUUGGCCCUGAGGGACGAUUCUCCAAAGUCAACGCCUCACAGCUCACAGCUGUUUUGUGGGGGAGAUCCAACGGAGGCCACACCAGGCCACGGACAACGUGGAGGAGGAAAGGUGCAAAAUGCUCAAGGCCAGACUGCAGGGAAGGAGAAGCACUUUUGGGGUUCCUCAGAACCGGGGCCCUCAAGGCUGCAACCCCCAGGAUUCCGAAGGCAUAUCAAUCGGCCACCCACUGAGGGCAGAAGGCGCUGCUACAGAGAUGUGGGUUAAUGUGUCUCUUCCUCCUUUGCUCCUUUCACCCAGUUUCACCCAGAAGGUCUUGUCCACUCUUGGGAAGUCCUCGAGCUUCUCUCUUCGUCACCCGAGAUGGCUGAGGAUUUAGGGAGUGAUUUGCUCUCUCCACUCAGAUAAAAGGCCCAGCAAGAAUCUUCUGAAUAUGGUGCCACAAUGGUCUACACUUUCCCAUCCAUGAAACCGACAACUGCUUACUACAAGGGAGAUACUGAGAGAGAUUCUGCAACUUUUGGGGUGCGACCCACACGAUCAGGAGACACUUCAAAUGAUCUGGCCCUUGGAUUUCAUAAGGGAUUUCCCUUUCAUAAGAGGAAACUCAGAGAAUGUGACUUUAGAGUUCCAAUGCAAUACUGCUUCUACUGCAAACAAGGCCUAAUGGGACCUGAUCCUGGAAGUCACGUGAUAUUGUUUGAGGUUAAUUCCCAUGCAUAAAAUACAGUUCUUGGUGGCCAGCAUAUCUGCUGCCAAAGACAGGGUCAGCCUUGUUUGAAUAAGAGCAGGGCAGAGCGAAAAGAGGUUGGCAAAGUCAGGGACCAUCGUAACUGAGUUAUAGCCCAGGCCUUUUCUGAAUCUUUCCCUUUUAAUAUCAUGGACAUUAACAUUUGGAUUACCAGAUGCUUCUCCAUUGAACCAGAGCUUUGGUUUUCUUGGAGUUUUGGAAUGUUAGGAGAAUGCAAACAUCAUGCAGCAAAUAAUCAUUUUAACAGAACUGCAAAGGACCAGAAAUUGUUUGCAUCACAGACAUUGUGGUUAACUUCUCAAAGGAGUAUAUUUUACACUCACAGGUCAGCUGUGGCCAUCAAAGCAUGUAUUAGAACGAUGACCUGCAGCUAUCCUCUAGGACCUAGAUGGACAUAAUGGAUAAUUUAACAGCUGCUAAAGUUAGAAAUAAAAGACAAGAGAAAUGCGUUUUGCAGAUGGACCUGUUGAUGUCCAAUGAAUAUUUUAAUUAAUAGGUCAGUCUACCAAGUACAUUUCUCUUGUCUUUUGUUUCACCCAAGUGAUUUUUUCUAAGACAAAGUUCUGGGGCAUUAAAUAAACCAUACUAAUAUGGAAUAGAGAAUCUGAGCCAUGUUAUUUCAUGGACUGGAGAGACGUAAUUUUUUGCCACCACUUGCUUCUUAUCUCUCACUCACCUCUUUUUGUUCUGGUGUGAAGUCACUUUUGAAGAACAAAAGUGUCCUUCAGACCCAUGGAAACAAGCAUUGGCAUUUCAGGACGAUCAUCUGUUGAUGGUUUUGCUACACCAGGACACCCAGAUGCUUUCAGACUUUCUUCUGAUAGUUUCUAGAUACUGUUACAUGAGAACUGGCGUUCGUGAAAAGAAAUGGAUGUCAUUUGUGCCAGGUUAAUAACACUGAAGAACACUGAACAUAGAAUAAUAGAGUUGGGAGGGACCUUGGAGGUCUUCUAGUCCAACCCCCUGCUCAAGUAGGAGACCGUAUAUCAUUUUAGAUAAAUGGUUGUCCAGUCUCUUCUUAAAAGCCUCCAGUGAUGGAACACCCAUGGCUUCUGUUCCAUUGGUUGAUUGCUCUCACCGUUAAAAAAAAUUAUCCUUAGUUCUAGAUUGCUAGAAUGCCAAGAAAAAGCCAACCCAACAAUUCCAACUUGAUGCCGUUUAGCUAUUGGGAUAUACUAUUCCAUCAUCUCCAGCCAAAAAGGACAAAAGCGUGUUUGAACCUGGCACGGCAAUAAAUAUGCUGAAAUAAACUCACUAAAAUCCCCGCCAUGUCCUGAGAUGGCUGCUCUGACAGAACUCCCCCCACCCAAAGUAAGCUAACAGUCAUUCUAUGUAGGGGUGCCGGAGCAUCUAAGUGUGCAAAGGGUAAUGUACUGCAUUUCUAUGGCUUCCUGGAGCUACCAUGAGCCUGACGUGAGCAUCUGUGCAGGCUAAGGCAUGCUCCUCUUGGCUGGUUAUAUGUGCUGGGGGCUGUAAGAAAGGUUCCAGAUGCAGAGGGAACGCCAUGCUUGAAUUUAAAUUUCAUCGACUCACAAUCAGUUUUAGCCCACUCUUAGUGCCACAUUAACGAAGCCUGCUCCCUCCUCCUUUGAGUGCAUAAUUAGCCCAAGCCUUCUACCUCGCUAAUUUUAAAGCAGAGAAGAGAGUGGAAGCAGGAGGGGGAAUGGGCUUUGGAAUUUGCAUAUUAAUUUAGCAGAGGGAGGAAAAAAAAUUGUUUACCACUCACUUCUUGGUGUUGAUCACAGAGGACUUAACUCUUUCACUGGUGCCAUCUGGAGCUGUGGUGCUGAGUAUUGCUUGCAAAGUGCCUGUGAAUUCUGAGAUCUCAGAAUAUUUCAGAAAAAGGCCAGCCAGGAACUAACGGAAGGAAAUGAAAAACAACUCCAAAAUGGCAUGGAUCUCACAAUUGCUUUGGCAAUAUUGCAGAAUGGAAACUCAGGAAUCUCAGGACGGGGGCCCUGGAGCCCCUGAUUUCGGCCCUUCCUUUGCUGGCAUCCAUGCAUCUUGGAGGGGACCCAUCCCGAGUGCCCAGGGUCUGCAGGAUUUCAGCCUGCCGAGAAAGCGAAGGGGAGGGGAGAGAACAGCCCUCUCAGGGCAGGGAAUCCAGGUCAGGAAGAGUUAAUACUGCAAACAAAGGCAUUUGUUCUUGGUUCUCUAAAAAAAAAAAAAAAGAGCUCAUCCCUUCAGAAUGCCGAAAGAAGACCAAUAAAAGGGAGAAGAGAAGAUGGAGAUCAGAACAGCAUUCCACAUCUUUUAACACUGCAUUUAUUUGGGGGAAGAUGCUAUGGCUUUAUGUAAAUCCACCUUAGGCA
Pantherophis guttatus is the source of this 4879-nucleotide long non-coding RNA. RefSeq lists it as uncharacterized. The record is from RefSeq and is a predicted model, not a curated record. NCBI's taxonomy places the organism in Eukaryota, Metazoa, Chordata, Lepidosauria, Squamata, Colubridae.